This 1355-nucleotide ribosomal RNA is filed under the name metagenome. Its description in RNAcentral is "bacterial LSU rRNA". It matches the Rfam family "Bacterial large subunit ribosomal RNA", at positions 1585 to 2925 of the family's 2925-position model. The record is from RNAcentral.
UUGAAGUCAAUGAUCCCAUGCUGCCGAGAAAAGCCUCUAGCGAGCUUCGAGCGGCCCGUACCCCAAACCGACACAGGUGGUCAGGUAGAGAAUACCGAGGCGAUCGGGCGAACUAUGGUUAAGGAACUCGGCAAAUUACCCCCGUAACUUCGGGAGAAGGGGGGCCACAGACUGUCAAACUCCAUGCGGGCGGCAGCGGUAGGUGGCCGCAGAGACCAGGGGGAAGCGACUGUUUACUAAGAACACAGGUCCGUGCGAAGUCGUAAGACGAUGUAUACGGACUGACGCCUGCCCGGUGCUGGAACGUUAAGGGGACCGGUUAGUCCGCAAGGGCGAGGCUGAGAACUUAAGCGCCAGUAAACGGCGGUGGUAACUAUAACCAUCCUAAGGUAGCGAAAUUCCUUGUCGGGUAAGUUCCGACCUGCACGAAUGGCGUAACGACUUCCCUACUGUCUCAACCAUAGGCCCGGCGAAAUUGCACUACGAGUAAAGAUGCUCGUUACGCGCGGAAGGACGGAAAGACCCCGGGACCUUCACUAUAGCUUGACAUUGGUACUCGAAUUGAAUUGUGUAGGAUAGGUGGGAGACUAUGAAGCUCGGACGCCAGUUCGGGUGGAGUCAAACUUGAAAUACCACUCUGUUGAAUUUGGGUAUCUAACUUCGGACCGUGAUCCGGUUCAGGGACAGUGUCUGGUGGGUAGUUUAACUGGGGCGGUUGCCUCCUAAAAUGUAACGGAGGCGCCCAAAGGUUCCCUCAGCCUGGUUGGCAAUCAGGUGUUGAGUGCAAGUGCACAAGGGAGCUUGACUGUGAGACUGACAGGUCGAGCAGGGACGAAAGUCGGGACUAGUGAUCCGGCACCUGCGAGUGGAAGCGGUGUCGCUCAACGGAUAAAAGGUACCCCGGGGAUAACAGGCUGAUCUUCCCCAAGAGUCCAUAUCGACGGGAUGGUUUGGCACCUCGAUGUCGGCUCGUCGCAUCCUGGGGCUGGAGUAGGUCCCAAGGGUUGGGCUGUUCGCCCAUUAAAGCGGCACGCGAGCUGGGUUUAGAACGUCGUGAGACAGUUCGGUCCCUAUCCUCCGCGCGCGCAGGAGACUUGAGAAGGGCUGUCCCUAGUACGAGAGGACCGGGACGGACGAACCUCUGGUGUGCCAGUUGUCAUGCCAAUGGCACGGCUGGUUAGCUACGUUCGGAAGGGAUAACCGCUGAAAGCAUCUAAGCGGGAAGCCUGCUUCAAGAUGAGGUCUCCCACCCCUUGAGGGUUAAGGCCCCCAGCUAGACCACUGGGUUGAUAGGCCAGAAGUGUAAGCCUGGUAACAGGUUCAGCCGACUGGUACUAAUAGGCCGAGGACUUAAC